AGCCCGCUCAGUCUAGAGUUUGAUCCUGGCUCAGAUUGAACGCCGGCGGCAUGCCUUACACAUGCAAGUCGAACGGUAACAGGUCUUCGGAUGCUGACGAGUGGCGAACGGGUGAGUAAUACAAUCGGAACGUGCCCGAUCUGGGGGAUAACGGAGCGAAAAGCUUUGCUAAUACCGCAUACGAUCUACGGAUGUAAAGCAGGGGACCGCAAGGCCUUGCGCGGACGGAGCGGCCGAUGGCAGAUUAGGUAGUUGGUGGGAUAAAAGCUUACCAAGCCGACGAUCUGUAGCUGGUCUGAGAGGACGACCAGCCACACUGGGACUGAGACACGGCCCAG
RNAcentral lists this ribosomal RNA (338 nucleotides) under uncultured bacterium. Its description in RNAcentral is "bacterial SSU rRNA". It matches the Rfam family "Bacterial small subunit ribosomal RNA", at positions 1 to 334 of the family's 1533-position model. The record is from RNAcentral.